Molecule: long non-coding RNA, 586 nt
Organism: Spinacia oleracea (spinach)
Lineage: Eukaryota; Viridiplantae; Streptophyta; Magnoliopsida; Caryophyllales; Amaranthaceae
Exons: 4
Source: RefSeq, a predicted model, not a curated record
UGGAACUUAAUGACAAUUUAGUAAUUAAAUGGACCACAUAUAAAACCCAAAGAAAUUAAGAAGGCAUUACUCCUUCACUCUUGUUUUUGUCACCCGAAAAACACCAGGAACAACAACAACACCAUAGUGUAGGAAGCAAGAAGAUUAUAAAAGAAGCAGAGGAACAACCCCAGAUUGGAGGAGAAACUAGUUGGGACCAUUAAUAUGAAGUAUAAGAAGGAACUACCUUGAGUUGGGCAAUCAUUAAGGGUUAAAAUGUUUUGCAUGGAGGUUGGGAUGAUCAAGUCUAGGUAAAAGGCAAAGGAAUGGUUAGAGAUUAAUGCAAGGUUUGUAUGUGUCAUGGCGAAAACGAUUAAAGAUCGUGUUCUAAGUUGCUCAAGGUGUAAUUCAAGCUUUAUGGAAGCUUGAUAUUUUGGGUUGAUUGUAAAUCGUUAUUAUUAUUUUGCUUUGGAUUACUAUUAAUUGUUUUGUAAUUAUCGGUAAGUAAUAUUAAGGCUUAAGCUGCUGGUUUGAGUUUAGUUGAUUAAAUAUAGGCUAAGUGUGAUAAGCAAUCAUCUUGUUAUGGGCAGGCUAUUACAGGCUCGGA